RNAcentral lists this long non-coding RNA (30475 nucleotides) under Malus domestica (apple). RNAcentral's name for it is "long non-coding RNA (MDOM_LNC007213)". Lineage: Eukaryota; Viridiplantae; Streptophyta; Magnoliopsida; Rosales; Rosaceae. The record is from RNAcentral.
CGCCUUAUAGCUGUCGGCUUCUUUUUCGCACUUGCUCUAGUAGGUUGGUCCUCCAUCUCCCAAAAAAAGAAGCGACACAUGUCCACAAGCCCACCAUGAGUUUGUAAUUUGACUUGAUAUAGAUAUGUCUUUGCAUUCCUUGCUGUCAAGAUGUUUUCUACCUUCAAAAUUUCAGGUUCAGAGCUAAGUACUCUUAACCGUUUGAGAUAUAAAAAUCCCUUGCAACUAGAUACCGAAGUUCAAAUGUGUUCAACGCCAUCAAAUAUAGCAUAAAAUGCAUCCAGCAUUAGCGAUACUAGCAGAGUAGCAGUAAAUAAGUAAAACAAAAAAAAUGCUUCUACACAUGGUAAGGGAAGGACUUUGACAUAGGUAUUUUUUUUUUGGGGGGGGGGGUGGGUGGGGAUUAUGUCGGCACAGGGGAAAACAAAAACAUCCUAUCUGCUUAUAAAUAACAAAGUUACAAAUCUUAAUUGUCGUUUACAACAAAAUCAUUCUUAAAGACUCGGCUCCCCAUUGAAAUUGUGUAAAUUGCAUAAAUAUCAAUACAACAGAUAUUAGACAGAAUAAUAUAUAUCAAAUAAAUUAACAACAGGCAAUUUCUUAGCCUGAGAUCCAAGGACUUUACAACUGGUUCAGCCUUGCAUCGCUACUAAACUACAGAAUCAAUCUAAGCAAGCACAUUGGCUCCAGUCAAUUGAUUUAAAAGAGUACUCUUGCCAGCAUUGGUGUACCCAACCUUGUUUCUCAGCCCAACAUGCACAAAAUCAACACCGUGUAGAAAACUAAAAACCACCACCAAAUAAAUGUGAAUUCGACAACGUCAACGUAUUUACUUACCAAAGAUACUAUAGGUACCGAAAGGUGGUGAUUACGAUACUGCUUUCUAUGCUUUCGGACAGAUUCUAACUCCUUGACAACACGAUCUAGUAUUACAGACAUUUUUACUGUCAAAUCAAUUUCCAGACAAAAAUCUACGGUUGUCAAGGAAGUAUAGGAGGAACGGCCAUAGUCUUUGGAGCCAUGAAAUUUACUGUCUUCUCAUGAACAUUGUACCUCCAAAAGCAUGAUGCAAUAAGCAUUCAAUAAUCUGACCUAGUUUGCUCAACAGAUGCUCCAAGAUAUUCCAAAACAAAGUCAUAGCAUUUUCACAUAGGGAACCGAAGAAUCUAUUGAUACCUUAUCUUGCAACUCUUAAGAGGCUCUUCUGUCAACAAUCUUCCUCUUCUAAGCAUGCAACUUUUUAAAGAAUAAAAGGUUUGUCUCUGCGAAUAAUCAAGUUCCAAGCCCACUAUUGAAAAUCAUGUUCAUCCACUCUACACUUCCAAAGCAGCAAACUAACAAUUUCAAAAGCUUUAAAUGCAAUCUGAAUACAUGGCAAGUAGGGGUAAACAUGUGAACAGAAAAAUCAGUGAACAUAAUCAAAUCGAAUAAGUCAAUUUUGGCCGAGAUUGAAAUGAAAAAAACAAGGAAAUGCUUUGUCUAUCGAUUUGUUUAUGAAAAUGGCUAUUCUACAAGAUACAGCAUGACAGGUCUUAGCUAGAACAAGUAACCGGCAUGGAAAUGCUUUAUGAAGCAAGAAUAUGAACUCAAGAGCUUUGUGCCAGAGAGACUUCAGAAAAAUGAAAAAAAAAAAUAUAAAAUAUGGGUAAGAAUAAACAUCGAUCAGACAAUAAUUCACGUAUAAAUCAUUUUUUCAACUUUAAAGUGGUGGCUUAAAAAGAAGCUUUAAACAAGUAGCAAUAAUUUCAUAUUGAAAAAUAAAACCUAUUUCAUGGAUAUUACAAGAGCAUUUAUUUUGAAAAACACACCUUUUGGUUCUUCGCUGCCUGACUUUUAAGAAGAUCUUUGUCCUUGUGACGAUUCAGAUUCUUUAAAAUAUCUUUGCAACGGAAUAAACAAAACCAAUCUAGGCCAAAAUUGACUUAUUCGAUUUGAUUAUGUUUACUGAUUUUUCUGUUCACAUGUUUACCCCUACUUGCCAUGUAGUUUUCGGGGUGUUAGAGCAUAGUGCUCUUCUCUUAACACACAAGUUUUGAUUUUAUUCUUCGUAAAUUAAGAGACCGUUUGAUAAUCAUUUCGUUUUCAGUUUAAAAAAUAUAAAAAACUAAAUGGAGUUUUCAAAAUUUGGCCUAGAAUUUUCGCUUUUGAUUUUUAAUUUUAAUUUUUUUUAAAACAACUGAAAACUAAAAAUAAUUACAAAAGGAAAUUUUCAGUUUUAAAUUUUCCAAAAAGUAAAAACUGAAAACUCUAAACUAUAGACUAAAAAUUAAAAAGUGAAAUCGAAAUGGGCUUUCAACGAAAUUGAAAAAAGACUGGGCUGAAUUAGUGAAUUCAAAGCAGGGCUUAUUAACUCUACGAGGCCCAAUGGAUCCGCAUAAAUAUUUAUCGAUAUUUUUACGCUACGAGACUCAAUGGAUCUGUAUAAAUAUUUUUUUUUUUUACAAACGAUAUUAUUUAUAUGGGCUUAACCUUAAAAUGAGCUAACAAUAAUGUGGUUCAAAUUUGCUUUUGACGAGAAUCGAACAUAAAACUUCUUACUUACAAAUGAAAAGAAAUACCACUAAAUCGUAGUCUGAGUGGCUCGUUAUUUUAUUUUAUAUUUUAAUAAAAAAGAAAGAAAGCAAUGAAAAGCUGUACAUAAACUAAAUACAAAAAGGAAUGAAAUGAAGAAGAGUGGGAGACGAACGUUUAAUUCAAGAUAAAGAAAGAAAGGUAAUCGCACCACGACGGCGGCGACGUGGCGGUCAUUUAACGGAAAAUAACAGACAAAUCAGCCUCCAGAUCAAGUCUUGAAGCACAACUCUGAAAAAUCGAGACUACCUACAGCUGAGCUCCGACCAACCGUUGAUGGAUGCAAUCCGGAAGCUCAGAGAUCAGGUCGCCAAGCAACAGCAGGUACUCUCUCUCUUGUUUGAUUCCGAAUUUGUAUUUCUGUAUGGAUUUUGAUACGAGCAUAAUCUGCGUUGAUUGCGAGAUACUAAGAUUGCUUAAUGAAAUGAUAUUUAUAUAAUUGUUCGAAUUGCAUUGGAUCGAUUCGAGUAGAAUUUCACUAUUUCUGAGCUGUUUGGGGCUGUGUUAGAGUGCAAUGUUGCUGAAUUUCUGAAAUUUUGAGCUAGGUGUUGCUGAUUACUUAUCGAUUUUCGGAUUUAAUUGGAUGCUUAAUUUACAUUUUCGGAAAACUUCAAGCGAAAAUGGCAUAUAAUUCAACGUUCUAUGCCUCAUUAAUGCAUAAGAGUUAGUCGAAGCUUGAUCGAGUUUGCUUUUGAUUAUUUUGUGAACACCGUCAGGCUGUGUUCAAACAAUUUUCUGGUGGCAUAUAUGGGGGAUCGGAUAAUGUUGCCUCGGAUGAAAAUGAAUUUCAACAGCAUCAGAAACUCGAGAAGCUGUACAUAUCAACUCGUGCUGCCAAGGUUGCUACGCUUAUUUUUGUCUGUGCUUUAAACGAGCAUCACGUUAGUUGUGUUACCUAUCGUUUUUUGCUUCUUCUUUAACAGCAUUACCAAAAGGAAAUUGUCCGCGGAGUGGAAGGUUACAUUGUGGCCGGUUCAAAGCACGUUGAAAUAGGUAUGUUGCUUGAAAUGUGUUGUCUUUUCUUGGGAGUUUGGAUAUGAAUUCAUGUUGGUUUUAUCAGUUGGUAUACAUGAUACUUUUUCAACAGGUACCAGGCUAUCAGAAGAUAGCAGGAAAUAUGGUUCUGAAAAGACUUGCACCAGUGGUAACACAUUGUCCAGAGCUGCACUGAGUUUUGGAAGAGCUCGGGCCCAAAUGGAAAAAGAGUGUGGAGUUCUACUUAAAGCUCUUGGCACACAGGUUUAAGUCAAAUUAUUACUAACAAAGCUCAACAACAACAACAACAACAACAACAACAAAGCCUUUUCUCACUAAGUGGGGUCGGCUAUAUGAAUCCUAGAACGCCAUUGCGCUCGGUUUUGUGUCAUGUCCUCCGUUAGAUCCAACUACUCUAAGUCUUUUAGGUCUUCCUCUACCCCUUCGGCCCUGAACCUCUGUCCUAUAGUCACAUCUUCGAACCAGAGCGUCAGUAGGCCUUCUUUGCACAUGUCCAAAUCACCGGAACCGAUUUUCUCUCAUCUUUCCUUCAAUUUUGGCUACUCCUACUUUACCUCAGAUAUCCUCAUUCCCAAUCUUAUCCUUUCUCGUGUGCCCACACAUCCAACGAAGCAUCCUCAUCUCCGCCACACCCAUUUUGUGUACGUGUUGAUGCUUCACCGCCCAACAUUCUGUGCCAUACAACAUCGCUGGCCUUAUUGCCGUCCUAUAAAAUUUUCCCUUGAGCUUCAGUGACCUAUGACGGUCACACAACACGCCGGAUGCACUCUUACACUUCAUCCAUCCAGCUUGUAUUCUAUAGUUGAGAUAUCCAUCUAAUUCUCCGUUCUCUUGCACGAUAGAUCCUAGGUAGCGAAAACGGUCGCUUUUUGUGAUCUUCGCUAGAUUGCUCCGGUCAUUAGUGUGGAUAAGUAUAUAAAUGGAUAGAGACAGGAAAGCAAACACAAGAUGUACGUGGUUCACCCAGAUUGGCUACGUCCACGGAAUAGAGAAGUUCUCAUUAAUUGUGAAGGGUUUACACAAGUACAUAGGUUCAAGCUCUCCUUUAGUGAGUACAAGUGAAUGAUUUAGUACAAAUGACAUUAGGAAAUAUUGUGGGAGAAUGAUCUCGUAAUCACGAAACUUCUAAGUAUCGGAGUGCGGUAUCGUCUUGACUUGCCUUAUCUGUCUCAUAGGUAGAUGUGGCAUCUUCUUUGGAAGUACUCUUCCUCCAUUAGGGGUGGUAUCUUUAACUGGUGGAGAUGCACAAGGUAAUGUAUCAAUUUCACUUGAAGCUUACUUGUAGUUUCAGGCUUGGUCAAGCGCGAUACAAACCAUGUAGUAGGAGUCCCCCAAGUCGCCGAGCUAGAGGAUCUGCUGAAAGAGGUGACAGACAAGGUAAGCAAUCAGAGCUCCGGCUGAUUGUUCACAUUCUCCCUAUCUUGCAGGCAGCAUGAAGGAUAAAGAGAAGAACAUGAGAAGAGAUGAUAUGGGAUACUUUUGCUUUUGAAGAAGUAACUUUCCACAGGCUUAUUCUUGAACUGAGCUGGAGGGUUUUCUGGUUUCCUCCAGAGUAUAAGGCCGACUGAAGAAUUUGAGGGUCAAAACAAGUCCAUCAAAUCUAGAGUACGUUCGACCCUGCUGAUAUGGGAUACUUUUGCUUUGACAGAGUAAUGGAUGUAUCGGCACGUGUGCUGUUUCGCUUGUCUCCACAUGCUUCCUUGUAUCCUUCUCCCUUGCCCUAUCUGUUCCUCAGGCAGAGAUGCGGUAUCUUCCCUGGAAGCAUAAGAUGUUGAAGAUGAGUACUUGAGAGCAAUGGCAGGUAAGUAAUCAGGUAAGGGGUUCCAGGCAGUCAGUUCCUGGCUGGAAGCUUGAUUCCAAGUGCUGACUGAUUGCUCUCUUUCUCCUUGUCUUGCAGAUAAGAACAAGGCCAAAGGAAAAGACAGGGAAAAAAGCAUGAUAUGGAGAUACUCUUGCUUUUAACCCUGAUGAUAUGAGAUAUUCUUGCUCUAGUAUAGCUUGUUUGCAGAGGAUAUUAUCGGGGGGAAAGAAAGCUGAAUAUUUCGAAAGGCUUCGUUGGGAGUGCCCUCUCAGAUAUGAGGAAGGGUUGAGCAUUUUUGCAGGUCUGCCUGUCCGUUGGGAAUGGAGGUCGACAUAUAUAGGAAUCUCCUUAACAACAAGUAGUAAUGCUAUUCCUUUACCCUACUUGGUCAUAGCACGGUAGUGGGAGCUGCCAGCUUCACAUGUUUUAACUCUGUCAGAGCACUUUGAAAAAGUGGUCUGUGGUAUCUGGAAAUGUGAUGUUGCGUGUGAAGAUUACAGACAGCUUUAUCCAAGGAGAUCCGGCUCUUGAAGUUGGGAAAGUGUUGCCUCUUCGGUUUUCGAACAAGCAAUCCUAUCGGGGAUCUGGCUCUCGAGAUUCGGAGAACGAUGCCUCUUCGAUUUUUGAGAAAGCAAUCAUGCUGGGGGUCUGGCUCUCGAGAUUUGGAGAGCGGUGUCUCUUCGAUUUUUGAGAAAGUAAUCAUGUUGGGAGUCUGGCUCUCGAGAUUCGGAGGGCGGUGCCUCUUCGAUUUUGGAGCAAGCAAACUUGUUGGGAGUGUUUUCUCGAAUGUGAGUAAAGGUUGGGCAUGUUUGCUAGUCUACCUUGCCACGAAGCACAGAGGUUGACACAUAGGGACUUUCCAAUUAUCCAGCAAUGGUACUGUUCCUUUACCCUCUCUUCGAUUUUUGAGAAAGUAGUCAUGUUGGGAGUCUGGCUCUCGAGAUUCGGAAGGACGGUGCCUCUUCGAUUUUGGAGCAAGCAAUCUUGUUGGGAGUGUUUUCUCGAAUGUGAGUAAAGGUUGGGCAUGUUUGCUAGUCUACCUUGCCACGAAGCACAGAGGUUGACACACAGGGACUUUCCAAUUAUCCAGCAGUGGUACUGUUCCUUUACCCUUGUGGGUAAUAAUAUGGUAGCUAGACCUUCAAAAUUUAUGUGUCUAAACUUUGUUAGUGCUGUUUCUUUGCUAUUGUUUUUACCCUUCUUGGUCAGAGCGAUGUAGUGGGAGCUGCAAGCUUCACGUGCUCAACUUUGGCAGAGAACUUUGGCAAAGUUAUCUGUGGUACCCAUGAGCUACUGUUGCGUGUGGGAAGUGGGUGAUUGAACAGUAAGAUUCAUGUGCUUUCUACUUCACCAGAAGUCUUCGACAGAAUGCCCAUAAUUUCCGCAAAGCUGAGUGUGCGUGUGACAGGUGCUGACAAGGCUGGAAAAGUAGGUGCCUCUUCGAUUUCUGAGAUCGGCCCUCGUGGUCUCUGAGCAGCCCAGCUUUUGAGAAAGCAAGCGCCUCUUCGAUUUCUGAGAUCGGCCUUCGUGGUCUUUGAGCAACCCAGCUUUUGAGAAAGCAAACGCCUCUUCGAUUUCUGAGAUCGACCCUCGUGGUCUCUGAGCAGCCCAGCUUUUGAGAAAGCAAACGCCUCUUCGAUUUCUGAGCAGGCGCCUUCUUCGAUUUCUGAAGCUCCGUCGAGUGCAGAUUUUUAUAGGGGCUGGCAUUAAGUUCCAAAGCACACUUGAAUCUCCACCAGUAGAAGCUCCAUUCUUGCACUUCUAAGAUCUUGAUUUGUCCGACCUCUUCUCUCUUCAACACCUUUGAAAAUGUCUGGCCCCUCCGACCGUCGUUUUUGACUUGAACCUUGUUGAAGAGGCAGCCACGCCUUCUCCAGACAACAUAUGGCGCCCAUCAUUCGUCUCCCCUACUGGUCCUCUUACCGUUGGGGAUUCCGUGAUGAAGAAUGAUAUGACCGCUGCGGUGGUGGCCAGGAACCUUCUCACUCCCAAAGAUAACAGACUACUUUCCAAACGGUCUGAUGAGUUAGCUGUUAAGGAUUCUCUGGCUCUCAGUGUUCAGUGUGCAGGUUCUGUGUGUCUAAUAUGGCCCAACGCCUAUUUGCUCGAACCCGCCAAGUUGAAUCAUUGGCGGCUGAAGUGAUGAGUCUCAAACAGGAGAUUAGAGGGCUCAAGCAUGAGAAUAAACAGUUGCACCGGCUCGCACAUGACUAUGCUACAAACAUGAAGAGGAAGCUUGACCAGAUGAAGGAAUCUGAUGGUCAGGUUUUACUUGAUCAUCAGAGAUUUGUGGGUUUGUUCCAAAGGCAUUUAUUGCCUUCGUCUUCUGGGGCUGUACCGCGUAAUGAAGCUCCAAAUGAUCAACCUCUGAUGCCUCCUCCUUCUAGGGUUCUGUCCAGUACUGAGGCUCCGAAUGAUCCCCCUCCGGUGCCUUCUCUUUCUGGGGCUCUACCGACUGCUGAGACUUCUCCUAAGCAACCUUUGUGAAGGCUCCCUCUUGUUUGUUUAUUUUGACUCAUGUAUAUGUACAUAUUUGUAGCUUAUCGGGGAUAUCAAUAAAUAAGCUUUCCUUCAUUUCAACGUAUUGUGUUAAAUACACCAAAGCCUUCUUCGCUAAGUUCUUUGAAUUUUCUUUUGUUGAAGCUUUGUGAGUGGAGCAUGUAGGUUGAGGUAGUGUUCCCUUAAUUUUCCGAGUGAGGAAAACUUCUCGGUUGGAGACUUGGAAAAUCCAAGUCACUGAGUGGGAUCGGCUAUAUGAAUCUUAGAACGCCAUUGUGCUCGGUCCUGUGUCAUGUCCUUCGUUAGAUCCAAGUACUCUAAGUCUUUUCUUAGAGUCUCUUCCAAAGUUUUCCUAGGUCUUCCUCUACCCCUUCGGCCCUGAACCUCUGUCCCAUAGUCGCAUCUUCUAAUCGGAGCGUCAGUAGGCCUUCUUUGCACAUGUCCAAACCACCGUAACCGAUUUUCUCUCAUCUUUCCUUCAAUUUCGGCUACUCCUACUUUACCCCGGAUAUCCUCAUUCCUAAUCUUAUCCUUUCUCGUGUGCCCACACAUCCAACGAAGCAUCCUCAUCUCCGCUACACCCAUUUUUGUGUACGUGUUGAUGCUUCACCGCCCAACAUUCUGUGCCAUACAGCAUCGCCGGCCUUAUUGCCGUCCUAUAAAAUUUUCCCUUGAGCUUCAGUGGCAUACGGCGGUCACACAACACGCCGGAUGCACUCUUCCACUUCAUCCAUCCAGCUUGUAUUCUAUGGUUGAGAUCUCCAUCUAAUUCUCCGUUCUUUUGCAAGAUAGAUCCUAGGUAACGAAAACGGUCGCUCUUUGGUAUUUCUUGAUCUCCGAUCCUCACCCCUAACUCGUUUUGGCCUCCAUUUGCACUGAACUUGCACUCCAUAUAUUCUGUCUUUGAUCGGCUUAGGCGAAGACCUUUAGAUUCCAACACUUCUCUCCAAAGGUUAAGCUUUGCAUUUACCCCUUCCUGAGUUUCAUCUAUCAACACUAUAUCGUCUGCGAAAAGCAUACACCAAGGAAUAUCAUCUUGAAUAUGUCCUGUUAACUCAUCCAUUACCAACGCAAAAAGGUAAGGACUUAAGGAUGAGCCUUGAUGUAAUCCUACAGUUAUGGGAAAGCUUUCGGUUUGUCCUUCAUGAGUUCUUACGGCAGUCUUUGCUCCUUCAUACAUAUCCUUUAUAGCUUGGAUAUAUAUGCUACUCGUACUCCUUUCUUCUCUAAAAUCCUCCAAGAAUGUCUCUUGGGACCCUAUCAUACGCUUUUUCCAAAUCUAUAAAGACCAUGUGUAAAUCCUUUUUCCCAUCUCUAUAUAUCUUUCCAUCAAUCUUCGUAAGAGAUAGAUUGCCUCCAUGGUUGAGCGCCCUGGCAUGAACCCGAAUUGGUUGUCCGAAACCCGUGUCUCUUGCCUCAAUCUAUGCUCAAUGACUCUCUCCCAGAGCUUCAUUGUAUGACUCAUUAGCUUAAUACCCCUAUAGUUCAUGCAAUUUUGUACGUCGCCCUUAUUCUUGUAGAUAGGCACCAAAGUGCUCGUUCGCCACUCAUUUGGCAUCUUCUUCGUUUUCAAAAUCCUAUUGAAAAGGUCAGUGAGCCAUGUUAUACCUGUCUCUCCCAAAACUUUCCACACUUCGAUUGGUAUAUAUCGUCUGGGCCUAUUGCUUUUCUAUGCUUCAUCUUCUUCAAAGCUACAACCACUUCUUCCUUCCGGAUUCGACGAUAAAAAGAGUAGUUUCUACACUCUUCUGAGUUACUCAACUCCCCUAAAGAAGCACUCCUUUCAUGUCCUUCAUUGAAAAGAUUAUGAAAAUAACCUCUCCAUCUGUCUUUAACCGCGUUCUCUGUAGCAAGAACCUUUCCAUCCUCAUCCUUGAUGCACCUCACUUGGUUUAGGUCCCUUGUCUUCUUUUCCCUUGCUCUAGCUAGUUUAUAGAUAUCCAACUCUCCUUCUUUGGUAUCUAGUCGUUUAUACAUAUCGUCGUAAGCCGCUAACUUAGCUUCUCUCACAGCUUUCUUCGCCUCUUGCUUCGCUUUUCUAUACCUUUCACCAUUUUCAUCGGUCCUAUCCUUGUAUAAGGCUUUACAACAUUCCUUCUUAGCCUUCACCUUUGUUUGUACCUCCUCAUUCCACCACCAAGAUUCCUUUUGGUGUGGGGCAAAGCCCUUGGACUCUCCUAAUACCUCUUUUGCUACUUUUCGGAAUACAACUAGCCAUGGAAUCCCACAUUUGGCUAGCUUCCCCCUCUCUAUCCCACACACACUGGGUGAUUACUUUCUCUUUGAAAAUGGACUUGUUUUUUUCUUCUUUUAGAUUCCACCAUCUAGUCCUUGGGCACUUCCAAGUCUUGUUCUUUUGUCUCACUCUUUUGAUAUGUACAUCCAUCACCAACAAGCGAUGUUGAUUAGCCACGCUCUCUCCUGGUAUAUAACUUUGCAAUCCUUACAAGUUAUACGAUCCCCUUUCCUCAUUAGAAGAAAAUCUAUUUGUGUUUUUGACGACCCACUCUUGUAGGUGAUCACAUGUUCUUCUCUCUUCUUAAAGAAGGUGUUGGCUAAGAAAGAGAUCAUAUGCCAUUGCAAAAUCCAAGAUAGCUUCCCCAUCCUCGUUUCUCUCCCCAAAACCAUGGCCACCAUGAAAACCUCCAUAGUUGCCUGUCUCCCUGCCCACGUGUCCAUUUAAAUCUCCUCCUAUAAAUAACUUCUCCGUCUGAGCAAUUCCUUGCACCAAGUCUCCAAGGUCUUCCCAAAAUUUCUCCUUCGAACUCGUAUCCAACCCUACUUGAGGUGCGUACGCACUAAUCACAUUGAUAAGUUCUUGUCCUAUUACAAUCUUGAUUGCCAUGAUUCUAUCUCCUACCCUCUUGACAUCUACAACAUCUUGUGUCAAGGUCUUGUCCACGAUGAUGCCAACACCGUUUCUCGUUCUAUUUGUGCCCGAAUACCAAAGUUUAAACCCUGAGUUUUCUAGAUCCUUUGCCUUACUACCAACCCACUUAGUUUCUUGUAGGCACAUAAUAUUUAUCCUUCUCCUCACCAUAACUUCCACUACUUCCAUAGAUUUUCCCGUUAAGGUUCCUAUAUUCCACGUUCCUAAACGCAUUUUGCUCUCUUGAACUCUACCCUUCUGUCCUAACUUCUUCACCCUCCCCCGUUUAAUAAGAUCAAAGUACUUCUUUUGUGUGUCCCGUGUAAAGUUGAUAGGAGCAUAUGCUCCCAAACAACUUUGAGUGGAGUCGUUCGAAAAGAAGUUUCUAUGGCCCCCUUGCUCAUUUAACACUGCAUCCGGGUGCCGAUGGAGAUACAGUGACCCUUGCUCACUUAUCACUGUGCUCGGGCCACACAGCGCGCCACUUACGGGUGACGCCCUAGCUUUAGCGCGAUUUUGUUCUGGAUUCAUUUUCAUAAGGAUUCGACGUGAUCAUGGAGUGCCGGCUGUCGACUACCUGACGUCCUCCCCCUCCUCCUUUAUCCGGGCUUGGGACCGGCAAUGUAACAAAGCUCAUUAAGUAAAAUUCAAAUAUUGCCUGGGCCGGCUUCAUACAAAUGGAAUUUCAACUGACUAAUUUUCGUGUGCAUUUGAUCAUUUCGAAAGAAAUUUACAGUAAAAAUUGUUUCCAUUUUCACGUGUGGUUCAAGAACUGGACUACUUUUUGUGUUAUUAUGCAUCAUAUGACAAACUGGUUCACCGUUUCUUUCUAUAGGUUUGCAUAAUAACUCCUUCUGUGCUUAUCAAUUUGCCUGUGUAGGUUGCAGAGCCUUUAAGAGCAAUGAUAGUGGGAGCGCCCUUGGAGGAUGCUUGACAUCUUGCUCAACAAUAUGCUAGAAUGCGGCAAGAAGCUGAAGCUCAGGUAUAUGCAGUUUCUUCUGUUUCCUCCCAAUUUUAUACUACAGUGAUUUUACAUGUUACGUGGUGAUCGUACAUUUCUUCGUUUAACUUUUUUUGUUUUCUUUUAAAAGUGUUUGUUCAUUUUGAGACAAUCAUGCAUUGGUAUUCAUAGAGAACGCAAAAUCUUAAGAUGUUUAAUGUAAACUUGUUAAGAUUGCUUUAUUACUUGAAGCUUUGUUGUAAUUUGGUUUUUGGUUUUUUUUUUAUUACUCCUUCAGAUUUGUCUAUAUAUACUAACUUGCACCGGGAUUCUGCAGGUAAUGCUGACAUUAUCAUGAAACUAGAAGCUGCUGAAGCCAAGCUUCAGGAGCUGCAGUCUACCGUUGCAAUAUUGGGAAAAGAAGCUAGUGCAGCUAUGGCUGCUGUUGAAGGUCAACAACAAAGAUUGACUCUUCAGCAGCUUCUUGCAAUGGUAAAGGAUUGCCUCCCCUUUUUGUUUAAGUAUGAAGACCUUGGCCUGUUCUAGUUACAAGACUGAAAAGGAAAUUAAUUUUGUAAAUUUGUCCUUUUUCAUCCCCAUUCAAGGUGGAAGCAGAGCGCAACUAUCAUCGGAACGUUCUUCAGAUACUUGAUCAGCUUGAAGGCGAGGUAUGAAAUAUCCUAAAGUCUUCCUUUCAGCAUGACAAUUUCGUAUCCCAAUUCAUUUGGCUCUAUAUUAUUCUAUUGUCUUGCUACUAAAAGCAGAGAUCAUUGACACUAUUUGUUGGGACAGAUUUUGGCAGAAAAGCAGCAAAUUGAAGCAUCGCAUAGUCCACCUACAGAGGACACUAUGCCUCCACUACCAUCGUAUGAGGAUCUCAGCCGUAGCUUUGCUUCUGAAACCUAUGAUGAAUUGACAGAGUUGAGGGACUCUUUCUUUGGAGGGGUAUCUUUAUGCUAAUGUUGUUGUAUCCAAGUUUUAGUCUGUUCGACUCUUUAGUUUCUAAUAACUGUUUCUUUUCACCUACCGCAGGUUAUGUACACCUUCCACGCUGUAACUGAUGUGGAGUUAAGUUUGUCAUUCGGGGAUUACAUUGUGGUCCGGAAGGUUCUGUCGUCUUUCCUGCUUGCAUGCUUUCAUCUUAUAUUCAUGUUCGGAUUUAUUUCUUUCGUAUUGAGGUUAAAUUUUCAUGUUCAGAGACGUCCACUCAGGUAUGUUCGUCAAUGCAUAUGCAUUAGCACACCACCGAGUGCAUUAGAAUAUGGAUUUCAGUUUUGGAUGCUUCAUGCAUUAAUGUAGUUUGUGUGGUUUUGGUUAUUGCUGCCGCUGAGCGUGAGUGGCUUUCUGUAGUUGCUGAGAGUUAUAUUGUGAGCAUAAUUCAUACAGCAGCUUUCAUAUACGGCACAUGUAGUCGGCAGCACUGCAUUUAGAAAGAGAGAGUUAUAUUUUCUUCACUGUUUAUUCAAAACUUAUAUGUUGCAUGUUCUGGCUUUUAAAGUGAGUCGGCAUCAGAGUUUUUAUUUGAGAAAAAUCAGUUUUGUGUCCAUGUGUUUUCAAAGAAAAUAUUUUAGUUUUUAAUCACUGAUUUUUCAUUGUGCUUCAAUUAGAAAUUAAUUAUGAGAAUCUGCCUUGUGAUUUUCGUAAUUGGUUGAUUCAAAAAAUCUUUACAUUUCAUACAUUUUGCAUGAUCUCGUUAGUAUCUUGCAAAGUUCAAUGACACAGUGAUUGACGGUCGCGUUAGUGUCGUGCCACUUUCACUUGAAAGCUGAAGAGAGAUCGAGUAGCAAAGCGCAAUGAAAAAAAUUGCAUACUAGUAUGUGGGCAGUGGCGGAUCCAGGAUUUUAAACUCGGGGGGUCCCAAUAAUAAAUUUCAAAAAAAUUAUAGACAAAAAUAACAUUAAAAAGUUAAAUAUAAUACAUUUCAUUCAAAAUCAUACGCAAAACAACAUUACAAGCUAUAAAAUCACAAAACAACAAAUCGUCGUUUUUUCUUUGCAUGCAAAGUGUAUGGGAACUCAUGCUUUGUAGGCCUACAAGGUCCCAUUUGCAAAUAUGUUCUUUGAACCUCAUCUUGAAUAUUAGAAGAAUAGUCCUUCAUUCGAAUUCUUUUUCUUGGGUCUCUCUCAAGAUUAUUAAAAUCAACGUCACACUCAUUUUGUCUUGAGCUCGAACUACCAGAACAAAUAAAUGGUGCUAUUGGCUUUGGAAGGAAAAAUCUUUCCAUAUUUCUUAUUUGUAAACUACAUAUUUAAGCAAAAACAGAAAACAUAUACCGAUUAACCAAUAAACAAAAAUUCCAUCUAAAUUCCAAUGAUAAAAUGAGUAUACAAACAUAAAACAUAUCAACAAUCAUAUCAAUAAUAGACUAAAAAUCUCCAUCAAUAUCUAAUAUAAUUUAAUUGAGAUUAGAUUAGAAUUCUAAAAAACUUAAUUGAAUUUUGAACCAAAUAGUGGUGGAGUGGAGAAUUAAAACAAGUGGAUGUAUGAUAUUGGACUUACGUAAUUAUAAUAUGGGAUUGGGUCAUGGGUGAGAUUAGAAAUUUAGGGUUUUGAAAUGGGGGGAAAGAGGGAACCAAAUAAUAGGGAAUUGGGGGAAAAGCAGCAGGGAAAGAGAGAACUUUGGGGAAGGGCUCAGGGGGGCUGGGCUUUAAAAUUAAAGCAAUAUUGAGUCAUCAUGCAUGGCAAACGACAACGUUUGUCUACCUUUUUGUUUUUUUAUACUUAAAACAAUGGGCCAAAACACAGCCGUUUUGGACCAAUUGGUAAAAACCCCUAUUUUCUUUCUUCUUCCCGCAGCGUCUUCUUCUUCACUGCUACCUGCAACUGCAACCUGCAACCUGCACAGCAGCUCAAACCUUGUGUUCGAGGGGUCCCCCGGAAAUUUUCUAACAGGGAUUUAGGGUCGCCGAAGGGUCCUAGGACCUCCCAGGUCCCUCUGUAGAUCCGCCACUGUAUGUGGGUCUAGUUAAUGAGUUUUGUAAGUCUUUCUAUACUCAUUUCUCUUAUUAUUUGUCAUGACUUAAGAGUCUGAGGAUUUUCUCAGUGGUGAGUUUUACCUUGUUAAAUCCUACAUCAUAUGUACACAUGUUAUUUGUCUUUUUAUUGCAAAUGUGUAGGAUAAUCUUUCACUUAUUUUCUUAUAGUGAACUCUAUCUUAGACAUUCAUCAACAUAUAGAGUUUACGACAGAGGACUUUUGCUACUAUUAUUCAGUGCAUUGAUUAAUUUGUAAAGCGCUCAUUUAUCCUAAUUAUAAAAUAUAAUGUGUACAAGACAUUAAAAAAAUGGAAGUGUCUUUCAACAGUUUGAAUGUCAUGUAUGGCCAUAUCCUUUAUUUCCACCAUUCUUAUCAACCGAAUGCGGAGAGAUUGUCUUUAUCUCACAAACCCAUAAUGUGGCAAUCGUCCAUUAGAAAGGUAACGUACGUUUUGAAAAUCGUGGCAAAUAUUGAAUGAGUAAUGAUGCCUCUAAAAAUAAAGUAACGAAUAAUCAACAGAAGUAGCAGUACAUCAAGUUGGAUCUUUUUCAAUGUUGAAAUGAAAUAUGAAAGUAGAUCAAGUUGCUAUUAUUCAUCCUUUUUUUUUUUUUAAAUAAACAAUAUUGUUUACAUUAAGAAGAGGAAGAAGUUAGCUAAGUCUUACAAUACGCUAGCAAUAAUAUGGUUAAAAUUCGCAUUUGGUAAUAAUCAAACCUAAGACUUCUCACGUACAAGUGAAGAAAAAUUUCAUUAGACCGUAACAUUAUUCAUCCACUUUUACAUAAUGAAUAAUCAAGAAAAACAUUGCACGGGUCCCCCUUACCACUAGUGGCCAUCACUUCCCUGAGCAAAAGAGAUCUUUCAAAUGGAGGAGGAUUCUUUACCUUCCUAUUUCCAUUCUCUUCCAUUUUCUCAUCUCACACAUUACUUUUUAUCUUAUUAUCUCUAUAAAUAAAUCAAUAUAAAAUGUUGACACACAUUACUUUUUAUCUUAUUAUCUCUAUAAAUAAAUCAAUAUAAAAUGUUGACGUGGUUUAACUGUGACUGUUCCAAUAGAAGGAGAUGGAAAAGUAGAGAUAUUAGGAGGGUAGAGAAUCCUACUUCUUUUCCAAUUGCUUGAUCAAAACAAGCAUUGACUUGGCCGUCCAUUCAUCGAUAACAGGUCCACAUCUCAAUCCAAAUAUAAUGACGUCAAAGGAGAGGGGAAAAUGAGAAGGAAACUUUGGAGGGUAGAGGGAAGGAAAAGGAGAAAGGGAGAAAGGGAGAAAGUAGAAGGGAAAAGUAGAAAGAGAAGAAGGAAAAUGAGAGGAAAUUUCGGAGAAUAGAGAAAAUGAGAAGGAAACUUUGGAGGGUAGAGGGAAGGAAAAGUAGAAAGAGAAGAAGGAAAAUGAGAGGAAAUUACAAGUGCCACAUUAUUAUGCGGUUCUAUCAAGUUUUAAUUUUUGUCUCAUAACCACAUCAUUUUUAGGAAAAUCAAUAUUGGAGUUGAAUAUAUAAACCUUCGAUAUGGUGAUAUUGGAAACAAUAGUUGGUGGGUUGAUUGGUAGAAAUGGUUCCAACAAUUCAAGGACGAGAAAUGAGCAUUGAGCAACGAUCAAAAUAUGUUGUAUUUUAUUACAAAAGAUCUUUGUGCAAUUAAAAAUGCAUUUUAUCACAAAAACAUGAGCAACGAUCAAUAUAAUUGUUAUUUAUAAAAUCACACAUAAAACAAGAAGUAAUCUUUUCUUUUUCUUUUCAUCCCUGCCACUAGCGGCCGACCAUGACUUAAUUAAAGAAACGCUUUUUGGGUUAAUGGAUGGGAACGACCCAUUUUAUAAUUGUUUGUAAAUUUUUCUGGAAGUAGAUGUAAAUGACCCAAUUACAUAUUUCCCCUGCUCACAGACGUUUGCAUUGCACCUAGCAAACACCAGUUUUUUUGUUUAAGCAUCGAUCCACAUCAAUGGCUCUUGUGAGAACAUCUCCAGGAACCUCAUCUGAUUCCAACAAUUUUCGGGGUUAUCGCUACGACGUGUUCUUAAGCUUCAGAGGCGAAGACACUCGCAAGACUUUUACCGACCACCUCUACACAGCCUUGAACAACGCAGGAUUUCUUACGUUCCGAGACGACGAUGAACUUGAGAGAGGAGAAGAUAUAAAGCCAGAACUGCAGAAAGCGAUACAGCAGUCACGAACUUCUGUUGUCGUGUUUUCGAAAGAUUACGCGUCAUCCAGGUGGUGUCUUGAUGAGCUUGUGCUGAUCCUUGAACGCAAGAGGACCACCUCGGACCAUGUAGUUUUACCAGUCUUCUACGAUGUCGAUCCGUCCCACGUGAGGAAGCAGACAGGAAGUGUUGGAAAAGCAUUUGCUAGAAGCCAGAAAAAUCAGUCGUCGGAAAAGGUGGAGGGAUGGAGGAAGGCACUUGCAGAGAUUGCAGACCUAGCAGGCAUGGUCUUAAAAAAUCAAGCUGAUGGGUAACUUUCAUUAUCUCCAUUUCUCUUCUCUUUGUUGGGUCAAUUUGAUGUAUGAUCCGUAGUGACAUAGAUUUUUAUAUAUUUAUUAAUUCAAUCUCAGUAGUGAAUAAUAAUCCCAAUUUAGGUCAACUUAAAGAAAGCACACUCAACUCAACUUAAGGAUUAGUCAUUUUCCAUGUUAAUCUACUGGUUUCCAGGUGCUUAAAUUUUGUUUGAAAGCUGGUGUGGAAAAAAGUUAGGAUGUGAUCUGUUUUGUAUUUGUCUAUAGUUUGUAUAAAUUAUGCGCUGUAUUCUUUUUUUUUUUCAAUUUAAUUUUGUCAGGCAAUCAACAUAUGUUUUAAUUAUCUAAUUUCCCCAAUUCAUUUUUCAUUUUGUUUGCAAAUUCUUAGGUACGAGGCAAAGUUUAUCGAAAAAAUUGUUAAAGUGAUAGAAGACAAGUUAAGUCGUAUGCCAUUGAGUGUUGAACCAAAAUUGAUUGGUAUUCAAUAUCAAGCCGAACGCAUCAAUUUGUGGUUACAAGAUGGAUCAAGUGGUGUUGGUAUAUUUGUUGUGUAUGGCAUGUCUGGAAUCGGGAAGACAACCAUUGCAAAACAUGUUUACAAUUCAAACUUUAGAAGCUUUCAAGGAAGUAGUUUCAUUGAAAAUAUCAAAGAAACAGCAGAUCGACCAAAUGGCUUAGUUCAAAUACAAAUGCAACUUCUUUGUGAUAUUUUGAACGGCAGAGAAGUGAAAAUACACAGUGUUAGUGAGGGAAUAAUUAAGAUUGAAAAGGCCAUAAGCUCUAAAAGAGUUCUACUUGUUCUUGAUGAUGUUGACCAUAUGGACCAAUUAGAUGCAAUCCUAAGGAUGAAAGAUCAGUUUUAUCCUGGAAGUAAGAUACUAAUAACAACUAGGCGUGAAAGGUUGUUAAAGGCUGAUCAAGUUACAGAGGUGCACAGAGUUCAAACUUUGGAUGACAAUGAAUCAUUAAAGCUUUUCAGUUGGCAUGCUUUUGGCCAGGACCAUCCCAUAGAAGAAUACAUGGAGCACUCAAAACAGAUAGUGCAACAUAGUGGCGGACUUCCAUUAGCUCUAAAAGUUUUGGGUUCUUCUUUAUCAGGAGGAAGUAUAGGUGUAUGGGAAAGUGCAUUGGAGAAGCUAAAAGUUAUUCCUGAUGGUGAAAUCAUGAGUAAACUAAGAAUAAGCUAUGAAAGUUUAAAAGAUGACCAUGACCGGAAAUUAUUCCUCCACAUUGCUUGUUUCCUAAUAGGAAGGAACAAAAGCUACAUUGUUAGAAUAUUCGAUGGAUGUGAUUUCUAUACAAUCAUUGGCAUUCAAAAUCUCAUUGAUAGAUGCUUGGUGACACUUGAUGAAUACGGCAAGGUGGAAAUGCAUGACAUGAUUCGUGCUAUGGGAAGAGAAAUUGUUCGCCAAGAAUCAGAAGAGCCUGAGAAACGUAGUAGAUUAUGGCACCAUAAGGAUUCUUUCCAAGUAUUGAGGAAAAAGAAUGUAAGAAACAUGCCUUUUAUGUCUAUAUAUGUAUUUCUUCUUGUGAAAAUUACGCAUAUUAAUGUCUCUUUUUUUUCCUUUAGGGUACAAAAAAAAUCCAAGGUCUUGUCCUGGAUAUGCGUAACCAUCCAGCAAACAGUCCAAUAAACACAAAUGAGAUAGUCUUGGAAACCAAUGCAUUUGCAAGGAUGUGCAAUUUACAACUACUCCAUCUUAGUCAUGUACGACUGGAUGGAUGUUAUGCAGAUUUCCCUACAGGAUUAAGAUGGUUGUGUUGGCUUGAAUUUCCUUUGGAUUCUAUACCAAUUGAUUUUCCUUUGGAGAACGUAAUUGUUCUUGAAAUGCAAUACAGUAGCUUGAGACAAGUAUGCAAAGGAACAAAAGUAUGUUACUCUAUGCAUUUCAAUUCAUUUUCCUUAUUUUGUUAGUUUUUUAUUUGUUGACCAACUCCAUGUGUUAAAAUGAACUACUAUGUUUUCUUUAAUUCGAUGACUAAUUUCUUAUGUUAGAUACUUAUUUCAUUGUUCUUUUUUCUUUUCUUUUUUUCCCUCUGUUUCCACAGUUUCUUCCAUCGUUGAAGAUCCUUGACGUCAGCCAUUCUCAUGGUCUUAGUGAAACCAUUGACUUCUCACGUUCCUCCAAUCUAGAGGAACUAAUUCUUGUAGAUUGCACAAGCCUGGAGAAUGUUCAUGAAUCCAUUGGAAACCUGGAGAGACUCGUGUACUUGAAUAUGAAGGAUUGCAAGAAUCUUAGGAAGCUUCCGAAGAACAUGUGCAAGCUUAAAUCACUUGAAAUACUCAUUUUAUCUGGUUGCUCAAAUCUUGAUGAGGUUCCAGUGGAGAUGAUGAAGAAGAUGGAGUCUCUGAAAGUUCUUGAGACGGAUGGAAUUCCAAUAGGUGAAUUGUGGCCAGAAAGAAGUUCAACUAUCUUGAGUUCUUUUCCGUGCUCUUUGGUAGAGUUAAGUCUGAAGGGGUGCAAUCUUUCUGAUGAUGUCUUUUCUACGGAUUUAAGUGCUCUAUCCUACUUGCGAAGACUACAUUUGGAUGAGAAUCCAAUUUGCAGUCUGCCAGUUUUCAUCAAAGGUUUGAGGAGGAUCGAUGAACUCUCUUUCAAGGGUUGUGAUAGGCUCGAAUCGCUUGUGGGGUUGCCGGAAGUACACCAAAGGCUAAGUAUAAAAGAAUGCAUAUCAUUAAAAAAAAUAACUUUUCAUUCCCCUGGGCAACAUUAUCUAACACGUGUAUUUUGCCAUGACAACCCGAAUCUUGUUGAGUGUGAGUGCUAUUACAAGUUAGAGCCUAUUGAUAGAGUUGAUGUGGAAAUGAUCAAACUUUUGGGCUUGUGCAACUUGGAAUCCAUGCCAGCUGUUCGAAUGCAUCAUCCACUCACAAACUGGGAUCUAAUAGAGGUCCCCGUCCAGGUGCGCCUCUUUUUCUCUCUCUCUCAUAAGUCUUAAAUAUAUAAUGGGAAAGAAAUGACUGAGUAAUGUUGUGAUGACUGUGGCAAAUACAUAGGGACUGUAUCAACAUGGUAUAUUCAGCACCUUUUUUGUUGGGAAUGAGGUUCCAGGCCUGUUCAGCUAUAAAAGUACCAAGUCCUCGAUAUCUUUUAUUGUCCCUUUACUACUUGCUAGUCACAGAAUUCGAGGCUUGAACAUCUUUGCUACCUAUGCAAAGGAAAAUUCAAAUAAUUAUUCUACUAGACCUAAUAUUGGUCCAAUAAUGAUCAAAGUGAGAAACAAGAGUAAGGGUCUGAAGUGGAUCUAUGACCCAUUUUUCUAUGGAAUCCCAAGUGACGGAGAAGAUAUGAUAUGGUUGAGCCAUUGGAAGAUGGAGAAUAAAACAAUAUUACAAUGUGGAGAUGAAGUGGUGGUUUCGGUAAUAACUGGACCACGUGACAUGUUUUGGGUCAAGGAGUUUGGUGUCGAGCUUGUGCAAGAGCACCAAGACAAGAUGAGUACCCAACACAACACCAAAUCUGAUCCUAAUUAUCCAUUUGUUAUUGAUGGAGAUUUGAAGAUGUUUGAGGACAGACCGGGAAAAUACUUCCUUGGCAGUUAUUUUAUAGAAGAAAUUGAUGACAUUGAUAUCCUCACCAUGGACUCUGAUGAAGAAGACACAAGUAUGUUGUGUUGUUGUAUUGCAUUGAAUUAUACUUCAUCCAAACACUUCCAGGUGUGUCCGUAUUCAUUUCAAAAACGUUUCCAAUAAAUUUUAUGUUAUUUGUAUGUUUUUCAGACAAAGAAGGGCAAGAGGAUGAACCUGAUUACACAAUUGCAAAGACGAGGGCUGCUAGCAAUAACUGCAGCCUGAGAGGCUGGAAGGUGCGCCUCACAGCUGUCGGCUUCUUUUUCGCGCUUGCUCUAGUAGGUUGGUCCUCCAUCUCCCAAAAAAAGAAGCGACAAUCGUCCACAAGCCCACCAUGAGUUUGUAAUUUGACUUCAAAUGUGCUUGCUCUAGUAGCUAAGCACUCUUAACCGCUUGAGAUAUAAAAGCCCAUUGCAACUAGAUACUGAACUUCAAAUGUGUUCAACGCCAUCAAAUAUAGCAUAAAAUACAUCCAGCAUUAGGUUCCAAGCCCACUAUUGAAAAUCAUGUUCAUCCACUCUACACAUCCAAGGCAGCAAACUAACUAGGAUACCAGGUUGGGAGGAUACAAUCAUUAACAAUUUCAAAAGCUAUAAAUGCAAUCCGAAUACAUGGCAAGUAGGGGUAAGCAUGUGAACAAAAAAAUCAGUGAACAUAAUCAAAUCCAAUACGUCAAUUUUGGCCUAGAUUGAAAUGAAAAAAACAAGGAAAUGCUUUGUGUAUCGAUUUGUUUAUGAAGGAAAUAAAACAUAUUUCAUGGAAAGAAAACCUGUGGUUACCUUUGUCUUCCUCUGCCAUUUGUCUAUCGAUUUGUUUCUGAAAGUGGCUAUUCUACAAGAUACAACAUGACAGGUCUUAGUUAGACCAAGUAAACGGCAUGGAAAUGCUUUCUGAAGCAAGAAUGUGUACUCAAGAGCUUUGUGCCAGAGAGGUCGUCGUACCCAGUGCACAAGGCUCCCGCUUUACGCAGGGUCUGGGAGAGGUGAAUGUCGGCUAGCCUUACCCCUAUUUAUGGAGAGGACUUAAGAAAAAUGAAAAAAACAAUAUAGAAUAUGGGUAAGAAUAAAUUUCGAUUAGACAAUAAUUCACUGUAUAAAUCGUUUUUUCAACUUUAAAGUGUGGCUUAAAAAGAAGCUUUAAACAAGUAGCAAUAAUUUCAUAUUGAAAAAUAAAACCUAUUUCAUGGAUAUUACAAGAGCCAUUAUUUUGAAAAACACACCUUUUGGUUCUUCACCACUUGACUUUUAAGAAGAUCUUCGUCCUUGUGACGAUUCAAAUUCUUUAAAAUAUCUCUACGACGGAAUAAACAAAACCAAUCUAGGCCAAAAUUGACUUGUUCGAUUUGAUUAUGUUCACUGAUUUUUCUGUUCACAUGUUUACCCCUACUUGCCAUAUAGUUUUGGGGUGUUAGUGCAUAGUGCUCUUCUCUUUACACACCAGUUUCAAUUUUAUUCUUCGUAAAUUAAGAGACCGUUUGAUAAUCAUUUCGUUUUCAAUUUAAAAAAUAUAAAAAACUAAAUGAAGUUUUCAACUAGAAUUUUCGCUUUUGGUUUUCAAUUUUAAUUUUUUUUAAAACAACUGAAAACUAAAAAUAGUUGCAAAAAGAAUUUUUCAUUUUUUUUUAAUUUAUAAAAAAGUAAAAACUGAAAACUCUAAACUAUAGACUAAAAAUUAAAAAGUGAAAUCGAAAUGGGCUCUCAACAAAAUUGAAAAAAGACUGGGCUGAAUUACUGAAUUCAAAGCAGGGCUUAUUAACGUUACGAGGCCCAAUGGAUCUGGAUAAAUAUUUUUCAUUUUUUUUUAACAAACGAUAUUAUUUAUAUAGGCUUAAUUUUACAGUGGGCUAACAAUAAUGUGGUUCAAAUUUGCUUUUCGCAAGAAUAGAACCUAAAACUUCUCACUUAUAAAUGAAGAGGAAUACCACUAAACCGUAGUCCUGAUAGAUUCGUUAUUUUAUUUUAUAUUUUAAGAAAAAAGAAAGAAAGCAAUGAAAAGCUGUACAUAAAAUAAAUACAAAAAGGAAUGAAAUGAAGAAGAGUGGGAGACUAAUGUUUAAUUCAAGAUAAAGAAAGAAAGCUGAUCGCACCACGACGGCGGCGACGUGGCGGUCAUUUAACGGAAAAUAACAGACAAAUCAGCCUCCAGAUCAAAUCUUGAAGCACAACUCUGAAAAAUCGAGACUACCAACAGCUGAGCUCCGACCAACCGUUGAUGGAUGCAAUCAGGAAGCUCAGAGAUCAGGUCGCCAAGCAACAGCAGGUACUCCCUCUCGUUUGAUUCCGAAUUUGUAUUUCUGUAUGGAUUUUGAUAUGAACAUAAUCUGCGUUGAUUGCGAGAUACUGAGAUUGCUUAAUGAAAUAAUAUUUAUAUAAUUGUUCGAGUUGAAUUGGAUCGAUUCGAAUUCAAAUAGAAUGUCACUAUUUCUGAGCUGUUUGGGGAUGUGUUGGAGUGCAAUGUUGAUGAAUUUCUGAAAUUUUGAGCUAGGUGUUGCUAAUUACUUAUCGAUUUUUGAUGUAAUUGGAUGCUUAAUUUUUACAUUUUCGGAAAACUUCAAACGAAAAUGGCAUAUAAUUCAACGUUCUAUGCUUCAUUAAUGCAUAAGAGUUGGUCGAAGCUUGAUCGAGUUUGCUUUUGGUUAUUUUGUGAACACCGUCAGGCUGUGUUCAAACAAUUUUCUGGUGGCAUAUAUGGGGGAUCGGAUAAUGUUGCCUCGGAUGAAAAUGAAUUUCAACAGCAUCAGAAACUCGAGAAGCUGUACAUAUCAACUCGUGCUGCCAAGGUUGCUACGCUUAUUUUUGUCUGUGCUUUAAACGAGCAUCACGUUAGUUGUGUUACCUAUCGUUUUUUUGCUUCAUCUUUAACAGCAUUACCAAAAGGAAAUUGUCCGCGGAGUGGAAGGUUACAUUGUGGCCGGUUCAAAGCACGUUGAAAUAGGUAUGUUGCUUGAAAUGCGUUGUCUUUUCUUUGGAGUUUGGAUAUGAAUUCAUGCUGGUUUUAUCAGUUGGUAUACAUAAUAUUUUUUCAACAGGUACCAAGCUAUCAGAAGAUAGCAGGAAAUAUGGUUCUGAAAAGACUUGCACCAGUGAUAACACAUUGUCGAGAGCUGCACUUAGUUUUGGAUGAGGUGGGGCCCAAAUGGAAAAAGAGUGCGGAGUUCUACUUAAAGCCCUUGGCACACAGGUUUAAGUCAAAUUAUUACUAACAGAGGCUAUUAAGUAAAAAUCAAAUAUUGCCAGGGCCGGCUUCAUACAAAUGGAAUUUCAACUGACUAAUUUUCGUGUGCAUUUGAUCAUUUCGAAAGAAAUUUACAGCAAAAAUUGUUUUCAUUUCCACGUCGUGGUUCAAGAAUUGGACUACUUUUUGUGUUUCUAUGCAUCGUAUGACAAACUGGCUCACCAUUUCUUUCUAUAGGUUUGCAUAAUAACUCUUUGUGUGCUUAUCAAUUUGCCUGUGUAGGUUGCAUAGCCUUUAUAGUGGGAGCGCCCAUGGAGGAUGCUCGACAUCUUGCUCAACGUUAUGCUAGAAUGCGGCAAGAAGCUGAAGCUCAGGUAUAUGCAGUUUCUUCUGUUUCCUACCAAUUUUAUUCUACAGUGAUUUUAUAUCCAAAACAAGCAUUGACUUGGCUGUCCAUCCAUCAAUAGCAGGUCCACAUCUCAACCCAAAUAUAAUGACGUCAAAGGAGAGGGGAAAAUGAGAAGGAAACUCUGGAGGGUAGAGGGAAGGAAAAGGGGAAAAGGAGAAAGGGAGAAGGGAAAAGUAGAACGGGAAGGAGGAAAAUGAGAGGAAAUUUCGGAGAAUAGAGAAAGGGAGAAGGGAAAAGAAGAAAAGCAGAAAAGAAGGGAAAAGGGGAAGGAAGCUUAGGAGGCUAGAGAAAAAGAUGGAAAUGCAUAAAAAUAAAAAAAUAAAAAAGGAAAGUCGCCUUCAUCAUUAUGUCUACUAACGGAAAGGAGCAACCACAUUGUAAAUUAUAUUUUGUAUAAUGAGAAACCAGUAUUCCUACCCUGAGGGUAUAGACACAACUUGCUGAAUCUCGUUACUAUACAGCAAGUUUAUAAUUGCACAAUAAUUCGAUCAAUCAUCUUAAGUUCAACCAUACAUGUAACAAGAUUUAAGUUUUUCCAAACUUUCCUUAUGAAGGUAACUGAACAUUACAAGUGUCACGUUAUUAUGCGAUUCUAUCAAGUUUUAAUUUUUGUCUCAUAACCACAUUACAAGUGCCACGUUAUUUAUUUUAUCCUUUAUUUUAUCUUUAUUAUUAAAACUUAAAAUUUUCAUAUUUUUUUAUUAAUUUUUUUUUAUAAAAUCACACGUAAAACAAGAAGUAAUCUUUUCUUUUUCUUUUCAUCUCUGCCACUAGCGGCCGACCAUGACUUAAAGAAACGCUUUUUGGAUGGGUCAAUGUAUGGGAACGACCCAUUUUAUAUGUUACAUGGUUGUGCAAUUAAAAGUGCAUUUUAUCAUAAAAAUGUGAGCAACGAUCAAUAUAAUUGUUAUUUAUAAAAUCACACAAAACACAAGAAGGAAUCUUUUCUUUUUCUUUUUCAUCUCUGCCACUACCAGCCGACCAUGACUUAAAAGAAACGCUUUUUGGUUCAAUGGAUGGGAACGACCUAUUUUAUAAUAAGAAAAAUUAAUUAAAAAAAUUUAAAAAUUUUAAGUUUUAAUAAUAAAAAGAUGUUGUAAAUAAAUAGUACAUAAUUGAUUUUUUUAGUAAAAGUAUAAUUUUUUAUUAAAAUUUCGUUCAAAUCCCCUUUAUAAUAUUGUUUGUAAAUUUUUCUGGAAGUAGAUGGAAAUGACCCAAUUACAUAUUUCCCCUGCUCACAGACAUUUUCAUUGCACCUAGAAAACCAGUUUUUUGUUAGAAAAUCGAUCCACAUCAAUGGCUCUUGUGAGAACAUCUCCAGGAACCUCCUCUGAUUCCAACACUUUUCGGAGUUAUCGCUACGACGUGUUCUUGAGCUUCAGAGGCGAAGAUACUCGCAAGACUUUUACCGACCACCUCUACACAGCCUUGAACAACGCAGGAUUUCUUACGUUCCGAGACGACGAUGAACUUGAGAGAGGAGAAGAUAUAAAGCCAGGACUGCAGAAAGCGAUCCAGCAGUCACGAACUUCUGUUGUCGUGUUUUCGAAAGAUUACGCUUCAUCCAGUUGGUGUCUUGAUGAGCUUGUGCUGAUCCUUGAACGCAAGAGGACCACCUCGGACCAUGUAGUUUUACCAGUCUUCUACGAUGUCGAUCCGUCCCACGUGAGGAAGCAGACAGGAAGUGUUGGAAAAGCAUUUGCUAGAAGCCAGAAAAAUCAGUCGCCGGAAAAGGUGCAGGGAUGGAGGAAGGCACUUGCAGAGAUUGCAGACCUAGCAGGCAUGGUCUUACAAAAUCAAGCUGAUGGGUAACUUUCAUUAUCUCCAUUUCUCAUCUUUCCUGGGUGAAUUUGAUGUAUGAUCCGUAAUGACCUAGAUUUUUAUAUGUUUAUUAAUUCAAUCUCAGUAGUGAAUAAUAAUCUCAAUUUAGGUCAACUUAAAGAAAUCACACUCAACUCAACUUAAGGAUUAGUCAUUUUCCAUGUUAAUCUACUGGUUUCCAGUUGCUUAAAUUUUUUUGAAAGCUGGUGUGGAAAAAGGUUAGGAUGUGAUCUGUCUAUAGUUCGUGUAAAUUAUGCGCUGUAUUCCUUUUUUUUUUCAAUUUAAUUUUGUCAGCAGUCCUCUUUUUUUUUUCUUAUUUAAAAAGGCAAUCAACAUAUGUUUUAAUUAUCUAAUUUCCCCAAUUCAUUUUUCAUUUUGUUUGCAAAUUCUUAGGUACGAGUCAAAGUUUAUCAAAAAAAUUGUUGAAGUGAUAGGAGACAAGUUAUGUCGUACGUCGUUGAGUGUUGAACCAAAAUUGAUUGGAAUUCAAUCUCAAGCCGAACGCAUCAAUUUGUGGUUACAAGAUGGAUCAAGUCAUGUUGGUAUAUUUGUUGUGUAUGGCAUGUCUGGAAUAGGGAAGACAACCAUUGCAAAACAUGUUUACAAUUCAAACUUUGGAAGCUUUCAAGGAAGUAGUUUCAUUGAAAAUAUCAAAGAAACAGCAGAUCGACCAAAUGGCUUAGUUCAAAUACAAAUGCAACUUCUUUGUGAUAUUUUGAACGGCAGAGAAGUGAAAAUACACAGUGUUAGUGAGGGAAUAAUUAAGAUUGAAAGGGCCAUAAGCACUAGAAGAGUUCUACUUGUUCUUGAUGAUGUUGACCAAAUGGACUAAUUCGAUGCAAUCCUAAGGAUGAAGGAUCAGUUUUAUCCUGGAAGUAAGAUACUAAUAACAACUAGGCGUGAAAGGCUGCUAAAGGCAGAUCAAGUUACAGAGGUGCACAGAGUUCAAACUUUGGAUUACAAUGAAUCAUUAAAGCUUUUCAGUUGGCAUGCUUUUGGCCAGGACCAUCCCAUAGAAGAAUACAUGGAGCACUCAAAACAGCUAGUGCAACAUAGCGACGGACUUCCAUUAGCUCUAAAAGUUUUGGGUUCUUCUUUAUCAGGGGAAAGUAUAGGUGUAUGGGAAAGUGCAUUGGAGAAGCUAAAAGUUAUUCCUGAUGGUGAAAUCAUAAACAAACUAAGAAUAAGCUAUGAAAGUUUAAAAGAUGACCAUGACCGGAAAUUAUUCCUCCACAUUGCUUGUUUCCUAAUAGGAAGGAACAAAACCUACAUUGUUAGAAUAUUCGAUGGAUGUGAUUUCUAUACAAUCAUUGGCAUUCAAAAUCUCAUUGAUAGAUGCUUGGUGACAUUUGAUGAACACGGCAAGGUGAAAAUGCAUGACAUGAUUCGUGCUAUGGGAAGAGAAAUUGUUCGCCAAGAAUCAGAAGAGCUUGAGGAACGUAGUAGAUUAUGGCGCCAUAAGGAUUCUUUCCAAGUAUUGAGGAAAAAGAAUGUAAGAAACAUGCCUUUUAUGUCUAUAUAUGUCUUUCUUCUUGUGAAAAUUAUGCAUAUUAAUGUCUUUUUUUUUUCCUUUAGGGUACAAAAAAAAUCCAAGGUCUUGUCCUGGAUAUGCGUAAUCAUUCUGCAAACAGUCCAAUAAACACAAAUGAGAUAGUCUUGGAAACCAAUGCAUUUGCAAGGAUGUGCAAUUUACAACUACUCCAUCUUAGUCAUGUACGACUGGAUGGAUGUUAUGCAGAUUUCCCUACAGGAUUAAGAUGGUUGUGUUGGCUUGAAUUUCCUUUGGAUUCUAUACCAAUUGAUUUUCCUUUGGAGAACGUAAUUGUUCUGGAAAUGCAAUACAGUAGCUUGAGACAAGUAUGCAAAGGAACAAAAGUAUGUUACUCUAUGCAUUUCAAUUCAUUUUCCUUAUUUUGUUAGUUUUUUAUUUGUUGACUAACUUCGUGUGUUAAAAUGAACUACUAUGUUUUCUUUAAUUCAAUGACUAAUUUCUUAUAUUAGAUACUUAUUUCAUUGUUAUUUUUUCUUCUUUUUUUUCCCUCUGUUUCCACAGUUUCUUCCAUCGUUGAAGAUCCUUGACGUCAGCCAUUCUCAUGGCCUUAGUGAAACCAUUGACUUCUCACUUUUCCCCAAUCUAGAGGAACUGAUUCUUGUAGAUUGCACAAGCCUGAAGAAUGUUCAUGAAUCCAUUGGAAGCUUGGAGAGACUCGUGUACUUGAAUAUAAAGGAUUGCAAGAAUCUUAGGAAGCUUCCGAAGAACAUGUGCAUGCUUAAGGCCCCGUUUGGGAUUGAGGUGAUUUUAAAAAAAGCCACUGUCAAAAAAAGCUGAGGAUCAUUUUUGUGUUUGGUAAACUGAAAAAAAAGGGCUUAUUUUGGAAGCUGCUGUGAGAAUAAGCUGAAAAUCAAAGAAAAAGCUGAAGCUGCUAUUUGCUGCUUUGAAAAAAAGCCAGUUUUUUCAAAGCACACGGAGCUACAGUGCUCCUUUAAUGAAAAGACACACUAUCAUCCUGCUUUUUUUUCCAAAAGCACUUUCACAAAAAAGUUUACCAAACACUCUACUGGCUUUAUUUCACAGCCGCUUAUUCUCACAGCACAGCUGCUUAUUCUUACAGCAGCUUUUUUUCAAAGCACAGCAAUACCAAACCAGCCCUAAAUCACUUGAACACUCAUUUUAUCUGGUUGCUCAAAUCUUGAUGAGUUUCCAAUGGAGAUGAUGAAGAUGGAGUCUCUGAAAGUUCUUGAGACAGAUGGACUUCCAAUAGGUAAAUUGUGGCCAGAAAGAAGUUCAACUAUCUUGAGUUCUUUUCCAUGCUCUUUAGUAGAGUUAAGUCUGAAGGGGUGCAAUCUUUCUGAUGAUGUCCUUCCUACGGAUUUAAGUAAUCUAUCCAAUUUGCAGUCUGCCAGUUUUCAUCAAAGGUUUGAGGAAGAUCGAUGAACUCUCUUUCAAGGGUUGUGAUAGGCUCGAAUCGCUUGUGGGGUUGCCGGAAGUACACCAAUGGCUAAGUAUAGCCGGAUGCAUAUCAUUAAAAAAAAUAACUUUUCAUUCCCCUGAGCAACCGUAUCUAGUACGUGGGGGUGACAACUCGAAUAACUGUAAUUGCUGUUACAAGUUACAGCCUUUUGAUAGAGUUGAUGUGAAAAUGAUCAAACUUAUGGGCUUGUGCAACUUUGAAUCCAUGCCAGCUGUUCAAAUGCGUAAUUCAUACACAUACAGGGAUCCAAAAGAGGUCCCCGUCCAGGUGCGCCUCUCUUUCUCUCUCUCAUAAGUCUUAAAUAUAUAAUGGGAAAGAAAUUACUGAGUAAUGUUGUGAUGACUGUGGCAAAUACAUAGGGACUGUAUCAAUUUGGUGUAUUCAGCACUUUUUUUGUUGGGAAUGAGGUUCCAGGCCGGUUCAGCUAUAAAAGUACGAAGUAUUCGAUAUCUUUUAUUGUCCCUUUACUACUUGCUAGUCACAGAAUUCGAGGCUUGAACAUCUUUGCUACCUAUGCAAAGGAAAAUUCAAAUAAUUAUUCUACUGGACCUAUUAUUGUUCCAAUAAUGAUCAAAGUGAGAAACAAGAGCAAGGGUUUGAAGUGGAUCUAUUGCCCAUUAUCCUAUGGAAUCCCAGGUGACGGAGAAGAUAUGAUAUGGUUGAGCCAUUGGAAGAUGGAGAAUAAUACAAUAUUACAAUGUGGAGAUGAAGUGGUGGUUUCGGUAAUAACCGGACCACGUGACUUGUUUUUGGUAAAGGAGUUUGGUGUCGAGCUUGUGCAAGAGCACCAAGACAAGAUGAGUACCCAACACAACACCAAAUCAGAUCCUAAUUAUCCAUUUGUUAUCGGUGGAGAUUUGAAGACGUGGAAGUGCAAACCAGGAAUAUACUUCCUUAGCUGUAGGAGACGAGAAGAUACUGACGACAUUGAUAUCCUCACCAUGGACUCUGAUGAAGAAGACACAAGUAUGUUGUGUUGUUGUAUAGCAUUGAAUUAUACUCCAUCCAAACACUUCCGGGUGUGUCCGUAUUCAUUUCAAAAACAUUUCCAAUAAAUUUUAUGUUAUUUGUAUGUUUUUCAGACAAAGAAGGGCAAGAGGAUGAACCUGAUUACACAAUUGCAAAGACGAUGGCAGCUAGCAAUAACUGCAGCCUAAGAGGAUGGAAGGUGCGCCUCACAGCUGUCGGCUUCUUUUUCGCGCUUGCUCUAGUUGGUUGGUCCUCCAUCUCGCAAAAAAAGAAGCGACACUCGUCCACAAGCCCACCAUGAGUUUGUAAUUUGACUUGAUAUAGAUAUAUCUUUGCAUUCCUUGCUCUCAAGAUGUUUUCUACCUUCGAAACUUCAAGUUUAGAGCUAAGCACUUUAACCGCUUGAGAUAUAAAAGCCCCUUGCAACUAGAUACCGAAGUUCAAAUGUGUUCAAC